This 460-nucleotide ribosomal RNA is filed under the name uncultured bacterium. Its description in RNAcentral is "partial 16S ribosomal RNA". It matches the Rfam family "Bacterial small subunit ribosomal RNA", at positions 338 to 795 of the family's 1533-position model. The record is from RNAcentral.
CCUACGGGAGGCAGCAGUGAGGAAUAUUGGUCAAUGGGCGGAAGCCUGAACCAGCCAAGUAGCGUGCAGGAUGACGGCCCUACGGGUUGUAAACUGCUUUUAUACGGGAAUAACGCGCCUUACGUGUAGGGCUUUGCAUGUACCGUAUGAAUAAGGACCGCCUAAUUCCGUGCCAGCAGCCGCGGUAAUACGGUAGGUCCGGGCGUUAUCCGGAUUUAUUGGGUUUAAAGGGCGCGUAGGCGGCAUGUCAUGCGUGCUGUGAAAUGUCCGGGCUCAACCCGGGCCUUGCAGCGCGAACUGGCGUGGUGGAGUGCGCGGAAAGCAGGCGGAAUUCGUGGUGUAGGGGUGAAAUGCUUAGAUAUGACGAAGAACCCCGAUUGCGAAGGCAGCUUGCUGCAGCGGAACUGACGCUGAUGCUCGAAAGCGCGGGUAGCGAACAGGAUUAGAUACCCUGGUAGUC